Molecule: non-coding RNA, 45 nt
Filed under: Caenorhabditis brenneri
Lineage: Eukaryota; Metazoa; Nematoda; Chromadorea; Rhabditida; Rhabditidae
Description: sRNA CBN34181
Rfam family: Histone 3' UTR stem-loop
About the family: The mRNAs of metazoan histone genes lack a poly-A tail. 3' end processing occurs at a site between a highly conserved stem-loop (modelled by this family) and a purine rich region around 20 nts downstream (the histone downstream element, or HDE).
Source: RNAcentral
CCAACGGCCCUCUUUAGGGCCACAAAUAUACGAUAAUCCUUAAAA